Long non-coding RNA from Gallus gallus (chicken), 2582 nucleotides. RefSeq lists it as uncharacterized. The record is from RefSeq and is a predicted model, not a curated record. Lineage: Eukaryota; Metazoa; Chordata; Aves; Galliformes; Phasianidae. The transcript is spliced from 3 exons.
GGCUGUGCGAGGAGGCGACUCUCCUGGCGGAGCUCCUGGCUUUGGGCUGAUGCUCGUGUGGCUGUGGGAGAAGGGCACCUGGUCUGCAGUGCCCACCCAGGCCUAAAACGCAGCCAGGUAACACGCCCUCAGGUGUGUUAGUCUAUGGGUUAAUGAGCGCUGAGAGCUUUUGAUCUUGUUAACUCGAUUGAACCAACGUUAUUGGAAAAUAAAUCAGUUUAACCCGUUAGGAUGGAUGUCUGUGUCUGGUCCAAAAUAGAAAGCAUGUACUUUUUGAGAACAAACAUGCUUUAAAACUGAGGUUUACACGUUUCAAAUGGUGUUUUAAUGCGUGUUAUCCAGCUAAAAUGAGCUUGGGCUUUAAUGAGGCCAGUUAACACAAUUUACAGGAUUAAUUUGUGCCCCAGCUCGGAGUGGCUAACUCAAUUUUAAAAGCACAUUUGUCUAGACAUGCAUUUAUGUGGGCUGGGUCUGAACCAUCUGCAAUUGUGAGCAAUUUGGGAUUGGACCUGUCUGUCACAGGGAUAGCAAACGUGGGGCCAAUGUGGGGUCUUCCCAGGAGGAACAUUGUUCUCUUAUGUGUGUGUGCUCUUGUCCUAGGUCAUGGGGAAGUGUCCUGCCAUAGAGCCGGGCCAGAAGGCUGUAGGAUGGCCUGAGCACAAACCUGAAUCUACAGUUUGACAGAAAGGCUUUCAGAGGCGUGAGUCCUACCGCCCUUCUUAGCAUCUUUGAAACAGGAGCUAAAAUGCUGAUUUCAUGUUGGGUAUGUUGUAUUAUGGAAAAAAGAUGGAGACAAUGGAAACUGAAACACUGAAGAGAGGAAUACAGGAGUAUAAGUAUAUAAAAAUUAAGAAGAAAUAAACAAGGGACUGGGAGGACACAAGCACUUCAGGAUGGUUUAUUGAGUCAGUGCAAAAGAUGACAUUUAAGUCUUCAGUAACAGUCAAAGAGUUUGAUCUCUGUUUACAUCUGGUGCUAAUAUUUGUGAGUCCUCCUCUGGGUGAAGAGGAAAAUGCCACCAGCACAAAACACGUAUUCUGGUCCAGAAGCAAACGCUGAGCAUUCAAACCCUUCCACUCCCUGCGCAUACAACUCGCACCAGGGGCUGUGCUGCCCAGCAGAGACUUGCACGAACACUGCCCUAAUUCAGUCUGUGGCUUUCUUUGGGCAAUUAGGGAUAGGGUUUCUGAGGAACUUGUAAUUAACCAGGCUUAGCUGACAGAUGCUGUCUUACCAACGUGAGCCAACGCUGCUAGCACCCAGUGAAUUUGGAACAACGUUCCCAUUCUUCCCCCUGCUUCUAGGUCUAAACCAUUGCACCACACAGGAAAGCUGGGAAGAAAAUUAACUCCAUCUCAGGCAGUGUCAGUACACACAGAUGGAAGGAGAUCACGACAGGGAUGAAGAGUGGAGAGACAAAAAUCACAGACUACACAUCAGAAAAUGACAUGCUUCAAACCAACAGAGUAACAAUCACCAUUGUGCAGCACUGCUCCGUGGUUUUUUACUUUUACACUGAGGAUUGGAGUUUGGCCUUGGAAGCGCUAAUGAGUGACCUAGUGGUGCAGAGCUGUCAAGGAUCAUCUGUCAUUUCAGACACAGAACUCAGAUGCUGUGAUUCAUGGCCUGUGUUUGGUGUCAACAGGAACAUUGUCCCAGUAAUGACAAACAAUUCAGCCUGCAUGUCCUUCUGCCCACCUGAGCAGCUCCCAUGGUAAGUGAGCUAGCAGCUGCGUUUCACGGCUCUUCCAAGAACGAUUUGACAAGAAGAUUUGCUUUCCCUUGUUCAGAACACAUCAGAUAGAUGGCCAGUACUUCCUUUCUUGUUGCAAGUCCCAGCUCCCGAGGUAUGCUCUGUGAUGCUUCAGUAGAGUCCUUCAUUAAGCAUACUUUUGUCUUAAUUGGACUGAGGUCAUGUAUCUGUAUUUUACAGUAGCAGUUCAUCAUGUGAUGCAAAUAAGGCAUACAAAGAAAAAUGAUAUUUGUAAAAACGUAUUUGCAAUACCAAAAAGAAUGCCAGGAAGGAAAUUUGUAAUAAAAGAUGUAGGAUUUAUGGCUCCUUUUUUGCUUCACAUCCUAAUCUAAUUAUGAACUCCUUCGAACGGCAGUUCCCUUGUGACGCUCAUUUAAGAAAAGUAAUAACCAGUGCAAUGAUUAAAACCAACAUUGUAGAACUACUCCAUCAUACCCAAGAUCCAAAUCCAUCACAGAGCUGUCUGAUCUGAUCUGCUGGUGCCCAGCCCCCGGGUAUUAAAUACCUUCUCCGGCUGAUAUAAUUAUGUACAUUUGAUAAAUUUAUGUAUUCCUGCUUUUUUUCAAGUUGAAAAAUGCUUCAUUUUGAACAAAGUCUUCCAACAUGAGCUAAAAUGGAAGCAGCAUAAUGCUUUUCUUCGGGCAGCCCCACCCCACAGCUCCUCCCUGCAGCUGCUGGCAGGUGGUUUCAGACCCCCCGCACCACCCCCUGGCUGCACGCCCCUCUCCUUGCCCCAUGGCCCGGCUCUGACACUCGAUGGCUGCUCAGCAGGCCAGGUCAGGAACCAAUUCAGCUGAAAAUGAAUGCCCAAUGCGUGUCCCCCCCCCCC